RNAcentral lists this long non-coding RNA (2062 nucleotides) under Theobroma cacao (cacao). RNAcentral's name for it is "long non-coding RNA (TCAC_LNC003851)". The record is from RNAcentral. Lineage: Eukaryota; Viridiplantae; Streptophyta; Magnoliopsida; Malvales; Malvaceae.
AUCAACCCAUUUCUCAUUCAUAUGGCCGGCCAUAGCAAGAACAAAGGGAGAAAAGAAAGAACAAGAACCCUAGGGUGAAAAUUCAAGAGAAAAAUUGAUGGAUUUCAAGUAAUCAAGCAAUCAAAGGUAAAAUUUCUUGAUUUUGACUUGUGAUCUACCUUUCCCAUGCAUUCUUUUGCAUUUUUCAUGGUUGAGAAUCAAGUUUUCAUGAUGAAUCCCUUGUUGUCUGAACACCUAGGAGAGAGAAUUUGAUGAUGAUUUGGUUAGAUUUUAAUGUAUUUUGGUGUUUUUAGUUAGUUAGUGAUGUGUAGCAUGAAAAGCCAACAAGAAAAAUUCAUUUUCUCUCAUUACCCAUCAUUGGCCGAAUUUUCCUCGUAGAGUGUGGAUGGUAGAUUUGAUUUUAUUUCAAGUGAAUUGGUUAGGAAAUGAUGAAUUAUGGUGAGAAAAUCAAGUAGAAAAAAUCAUGGUGUUGAUUCACCCACCAUGGCCGAAAUUCUCAAGAGAAAACGUGGAGAUGAUUUUGCUAAAUUUUAUGCUAUUUGACUUGUGUUUGAGGAUUUGGAGAAUUGGAAGAAAAAUGGAGUUAAUUGGUGUUGAAUUGGACAUAUUGGCCAAUUAAUCGAGUGAUAGAUCGAAUUAGGCCAAUACCGUAUUAUUUAGGUACACAAUUAAAUUUGUGUAGAACACUGUGUGUAGACAAUAAUCCGAACAAUUUGCAUCCCAUUUCAUACAUUAGUAUAAAGCCUGAAUUGGUUUUAUAACAAUUUAGCACAAUGUAUUAAAUGGCUUAUUGUGCAUUAUGUCUAGGUGGUGAGCAUUCUGGCAAAAGUAAAGAGAUAGUACCGGAGGAUCAAGAAUCGGAGUACAUGGAAUUCGACUCUCGAAAUAGUGAGUAACCUUACUAUCGUCUUAAUUAUCUAAAGUGGUUUUUAUCCGAUUUUGUGAUUUUAUGGAAAAUGAGUUUAAAUGGUAAAUUUUUAUGUUUUAUAAACAAAAUGUGUUUAAACGAAAUGAUUUUAUAAAUUGUCUUGAAAUUGAAUGAUGGCUUUGAAAAUAGAGUAAUUGGAGACCAUUUGAUGUAUUGUGAAUUUAUGUUUCUAAUUGAUUGGCUUAUGAUAAUAUUGGCAUGAAUGGUUGAAUUGGAAAAUGUGUUGAAAAUGUAUGAAUUGUUGAUGUGCCUUGAAAGGCUAUAAAAUAAAAUAAUUGUCAUAUCAUGUUAUUAAAUUUUAUUGAUUGGUGGGAUAAUUAUUAGCUUACUGCAGUAGACAAGUUCUGUGGACCAACCUAUUAGAAGGGCACGGAAUCUCGUUAUAUUUUACCUCGGUUGGAGAGGUGAGUAGAGUAACUCCCAAGGUAUAACUUUUAGAGUUCACUUCACGCCAAACCACCACGUGAGGGGGAACUCAGCCAACGCCAAGGAACGGCUAUGUUUUCAAAAUAAAAACAUGAUUUAUGCGUAAGUAACUUUUUAAUAGCCUUGGCGGACUCGGUUGGGAUAGCCCACGAUCAAGGCAUCCCUAAUAAUUGGGUAUGAGAAUGAUUUUGGCACGAGCCAAAGUUUUAAGAAAUUCGUAAGCCAUGUUGAUUACUCAAUUUAUAUGAAUUGAUUUUAUUUGGUUGAAAUGAGUUGAAAGGUUAUAAAUUACAAUAUGAUGAUUUAUUUUAUCUGUUUCCAUUUACUCGACUUUAGAUAUUUUAGAUGGUAUUUGUUUACUCACUGGGAUUAUAUAAUCUCACCACCCUCCUUUCCACCCCUUUCAGGCUCAAGAUAGUCGGUAGAUAGCUCAUUUCGUUGAGGGCUACAAUUGGACUUGCAUUCUCAAAAAUUAUAGGUUCACAGUCUUUCUUACUUUUGGUUAUUUGUGGGCCCACAUGUCACUGUAAAUUAAAUUAUAUUUUGGUUAUCUGUAUUACAAUAUGUAUGAAUUUAUUUAGUUUUUACGCUACAAAAAUUAUUUACCAGUAACUCUUUAAAUAUUGUUUGAUAAGAAAUAGAAUGUUUUAUUGAAUAUUUUUAUUAUAUUCAAAUUGUCAUAAUUUCAUUUUUAAAUGAAGGUUUCAG